RNAcentral lists this ribosomal RNA (465 nucleotides) under Vreelandella stevensii. Its description in RNAcentral is "partial 16S ribosomal RNA". It matches the Rfam family "Bacterial small subunit ribosomal RNA", at positions 339 to 795 of the family's 1533-position model. Lineage: Bacteria; Pseudomonadati; Pseudomonadota; Gammaproteobacteria; Oceanospirillales; Halomonadaceae. The record is from RNAcentral.
CUACGGGGAGGCUGCAGUGGGGAAUAUUGGACAAUGGGCGAAAGCCUGAUCCAGCCAUGCCGCGUGUGUGAAGAAGGCCUUCGGGUUGUAAAGCACUUUCAGUGGGGAAGAAAGCCUUGGGGCUAAUACCCUCGAGGAAGGACAUCACCCACAGAAGAAGCACCGGCUAACUCCGUGCCAGCAGCCGCGGUAAUACGGAGGGUGCGAGCGUUAAUCGGAAUUACUGGGCGUAAAGCGCGCGUAGGCGGUCUGAUAAGCCGGUUGUGAAAGCCCCGGGCUCAACCUGGGAACGGCAUCCGGAACUGUCAGGCUAGAGUGCAGGAGAGGAAGGUAGAAUUCCCGGUGUAGCGGUGAAAUGCGUAGAGAUCGGGAGGAAUACCAGUGGCGAAGGCGGCCUUCUGGACUGACACUGACGCUGAGGUGCGAAAGCGUGGGUAGCAAACAGGAUUAGAUACCCGAGUAGUC